This 394-nucleotide transfer-messenger RNA is filed under the name pig gut metagenome. It matches the Rfam family "transfer-messenger RNA". Rfam says of the family: Bacterial tmRNA, also known as 10Sa RNA or SsrA, is named for its dual tRNA and mRNA-like properties. Its role is to liberate the mRNA from a stalled ribosome. The record is from RNAcentral.
GGGGAUGUUUUGGUUUUGACAGCAUUGUAGACGGUAGUAAGCACGUCGAGAGUCGUAGGCCCUCUCGUUAAUCUCAGCUUUCAAAAAUUAGUAGGCAACUACAACUAUUCAUACGCUUGCUAGUCACCAGGUGACAAGCAUCAAUCAGAGCCGCCAAGGCUGCGGCACUGACGUAUAUCCCGCUAUGAUUCAGGCCGGUCCUUCAUAGCAUACGGGGUAUCAUCCAGACCGGAUGCACGUGUGGACUCCUUUAAAGCACGCCAAGACUCAGAGGAUAAGUUUCGGACCAGCCCGUCUUCCGGCAUUCCGUUACCGACAAUCAAAGGAAGAAUAAACGUGUAGAAAGCUAUUGGGUAUGGUGUUUGGACGGCGGUUCGAGUCCGCCCAUCUCCAC